This 467-nucleotide ribosomal RNA is filed under the name uncultured bacterium. RNAcentral's name for it is "partial 16S ribosomal RNA". It matches the Rfam family "Bacterial small subunit ribosomal RNA", at positions 28 to 507 of the family's 1533-position model. The record is from RNAcentral.
GAUGAACGCUGGCGGCGUGCUUAACACAUGCAAGUCGAACGGAAAGGCCCAAGCUUGCUUGGGUACUCGAGUGGCGAACGGGUGAGUAACACGUGGGUGAUCUGCCCUGCACUUCGGGAUAAGCCUGGGAAACUGGGUCUAAUACCGGAUAGGACCACAUUUUGGAUUGUGUGGUGGAAAGUUUUUCGGUGUGGGAUGAGCUCGCGGCCUAUCAGCUUGUUGGUGGGGUAAUGGCCUACCAAGGCGUCGACGGGUAGCCGGCCUGAGAGGGUGUACGGCCACAUUGGGACUGAGAUACGGCCCAGACUCCUACGGGAGGCAGAAGUGGGGAAUAUUGCACAAUGGGCGCAAGCCUGAUGCAGCGACGCCGCGUGGGGGAUGACGGCCUUCGGGUUGUAAACUCCUUUCGCUAGGGACGAAGCGUUUUUGUGACGGUACCUGGAGAAGAAGCACCGGCUAACUACGUG